Molecule: non-coding RNA, 1336 nt
Organism: Corylus avellana
Lineage: Eukaryota; Viridiplantae; Streptophyta; Magnoliopsida; Fagales; Betulaceae
Source: RefSeq, a predicted model, not a curated record
ACAGAAAUCCUACCAGUUUUUUUAUAUAGCUUAGGCUCUUAUUUCAUACUUGCUUGGUAAAGUCCAACAUAAUCAUCAUAAUGCUGUAAUGUUGUUGUACAGCAUGACAUUUGAGCCACCUUUGAGCACCUAAUUUUGUUUCAUAGGUGAGCAAUGUCGAUGGCCUAGAUUUAGCUGCCCAAUUGCAUGACCAAUAAGGAUCAAUCAUGUAGAGAAAAGGACAUAUAUGCCAACUUUGAGCACCUAAUUUUGUUUCAUAUGCGAGCAAUGCCGAUUGCCUUGAUCUAGCUGCCCAAUGGCAUGACCAGCUAGUUUCAAGCAUCUACAAAAACAGUAAGUUAUUGCCUUUAUCAACAAGAGAGGAAGAGGAAGAGGAAGAGGAAGAAGAAGAAGAAGAACCGGACGACUGCUGAGUAUAAGAGGUCUAGGUUAUCAAGGAACCGGACGACUGCUAACCGGGCUUAUGGUGGAGUUCUUUCUGGUGGUGCUGUAAGGAAAAGCAACGGUGGAGGAGGAUUAGGCCUUGGAUGGCCUAAAGGCAGUGCAUCCAAGAGAGGAGAUAGAGAAACAGAAAGCUCAUGAGCGAUAUAUGAAAUUGCAAGAACAGGGGAAAACAGAACAAGCUAAGAAAGAUUUAGGUAAUAAAUCAUGUCUUUUAGAAUUUCUAAUGACCUUUUCUUUAGUGGAUAAGUAAAGGGCUUCUUAUAACCUUUUGGGCUGCUUUGGUUCUUUACAUCUUGGUUAGCUUCCAAAAUUUUGGGCAUUCAAGUUGUUACCUGCAUGUUUUCUUCAAAUUAUAUGCUUGAUAUCAUCUGAACAUCAGUUACGUGACUAAUCCCUCACCGUCUACUCCCAUCUCUUUCUUGGUCUAUUAUAAACUAGUUGACAAGCCUUGUGAUUUAGCAGUUAAUAUGUACCUUGGUAUAUAAUUGAAAAGCUUAAGUAAUUUUAUAUUUUGGAUUGUGUAUUACCAUGGCAAUCAAAUUCUUAGCCAAAGUCAUGUAACCUUUGCCAAAGAAACUUCUGUCUGCCUACCCCUGUCAAAUGUAGAACAGUAUUUAGGUAAUAAAUCAUGAUAAAUUACUCCUUUUCACUUUUAAUUGUCGGUUCUAAGUGGUGGUGUGUGUAAUGUAGGUUAUGGAUAUUAUUUUUAAAGAUACAGAUAAAACUUGGCUUGUAAAAUUAUUUUUUUCAUCAAAUUACAAAUACUUUUAUUACCUCCUCCUUUCAUGCUUCUAUGUUGCUUAAAAUUGACUGAAUCUUGAUUGCUGAUUGACUAAGAUUAAAUAGAAAGUUGCACUCUUCUACUCCAUGAGGAGGUAUAUAGUUGUUUGAA